This 475-nucleotide long non-coding RNA is filed under the name Pan troglodytes (chimpanzee). RNAcentral's name for it is "lincRNA". The record is from RNAcentral. Lineage: Eukaryota; Metazoa; Chordata; Mammalia; Primates; Hominidae.
CUUAAGAUAACCCUGUGAAGGCUGAGAUUGAGAUGUGUUCAUGUGUGGAUGUGAUGGAACUGAGGUCGCUAGGUUCAUGCUACCUGGAACAUGAGACGACAAAUAGAGGAGCACUGAGUCAAAUGAAUCUCGGAGAAAUGGAGCUGGAAGAAAACUGGAAAUUUCAUUCUUGUUGCCCAGGCUGGAGUGCAAUGGCGUGAUCUUGGCUCACUGCAACCUUGACCUCCUAGGUUCAAGUGAUUCUCCUGUCUCAGUCUCCUGAGUAGCUAGUAUUACAGGCAUGCACCACUAUGCCCGGCAAAUUUUGUAUUUUUAGUUGAGAUGGGGUUUCUUCAUGUUGGUCAGGCUGGUCUCAAACUCCCAACCUCAGGUGAUCCACCUGCCUCAGCCUCCCAAAGUGCUGGGAUUACAGGUGUGAGCCGCCGUGCCCUGCUGAAACUUAUUUGUUUGAACAAUAAAAGCCACAUAUUUCCUC